GCGGAAGGAUCAUUACAGCGAAGCGGCGCGAGCCGCCUUUCGAACCACCGCGUACCGAACCCCCCACGUUGCCUCGGCGGGCGCCGGGCGCCCCGCGCCCGCCCCGCCGAACGGCCCCCCAGCAAGACCCCUUCCGUCGAGAUGGCGUCGUCUGAACCCUCCGGGGAAAACGUUUCUGAAACGAAAAACACAACUUUCAACAAUGGAUCUCUUGGCUCCGGCAUCGAUGAAGAACGCAGCGAAACGCGAUAGCUAGUGUGAAUUGCAGAUUUCAGUGAAUCAUCGAGUCUUUGAACGCACAUUGCGCCUCUUGGUAUUCCUCGAGGCAUGCCUGUUCGAGCGUCGUUACGCCCCUCAAGCGCGAGCUUGGUGUUGGGGACCGCCCCUGAGACACGGCGGCGGCCCCGGAAUGCAUCGGCGGUGCUGGUCCCAGCCCGGAGCGCAGCAGACAUGCGGCUCCGCGGGCGGGGCCGGCGCCCGCCGGACAAACGACGAGACCCCUCCACAAGUCGACCUCGA
RNAcentral lists this unclassified non-coding RNA (519 nucleotides) under leaf metagenome. RNAcentral's name for it is "partial contains internal transcribed spacer 1, 5.8S ribosomal RNA, and internal transcribed spacer 2". The stretch from base 192 to 345 matches the Rfam family "5.8S ribosomal RNA". The record is from RNAcentral.